CAGUAGCCACGGUAACACGGAGGAUCCAAGCGUUAUCCGGAAUCAUUGGGUUUAAAGGGUCCGUAGGCGGUCUUGUAAGUCAGUGGUGAAAGCCCAUCGCUCAACGGUGGAACGGCCAUUGAUACUGCAGGACUUGAAUUAUUGGGAAGUAACUAGAAUAUGUAGUGUAGCGGUGAAAUGCUUAGAGAUUACAUGGAAUACCAAUUGCGAAGGCAGGUUACUACCAAUUGAUUGACGCUGAUGGACGAAAGCGUGGGUAGCGAACAGGAUUAGAUACCCGUGUAGUCCCUGUCUCUUAUAC
RNAcentral lists this ribosomal RNA (301 nucleotides) under uncultured bacterium. RNAcentral's name for it is "partial 16S ribosomal RNA". It matches the Rfam family "Bacterial small subunit ribosomal RNA", at positions 509 to 807 of the family's 1533-position model. The record is from RNAcentral.